This 1269-nucleotide ribosomal RNA is filed under the name Cellulomonadaceae str. Ke. RNAcentral's name for it is "bacterial SSU rRNA". It matches the Rfam family "Bacterial small subunit ribosomal RNA", at positions 113 to 1392 of the family's 1533-position model. Lineage: Bacteria; Bacillati; Actinomycetota; Actinomycetes; Micrococcales; Cellulomonadaceae. The record is from RNAcentral.
ACACGUGAGUACGCUGCCCCUGACUCUGGAAUAACCGUGGGAAACGACGGCUAAUACCGGAUAUGAGACGUCCACGCAUGUGAGCGUCUGGAAAGAUUUAUCGGUCUGGGAUGGACUCGCGGCCUAUCAGCUUGUUGGUGGGGUAAUGGCCCACCAAGGCGACGACGGGUAGCCGGCCUGAGAGGGCGACCGGCCACACUGGGACUGAGAUACGGCCCAGACUCCUACGGGAGGCAGCAGUGGGGAAUAUUGCACAAUGGGCGCAAGCUGAUGCAGCGACGCCGCGUGGCGGGAUGAAGGCCUUCGGGUUGUAAACCCUUUCAGCAGGGAAGAAGCGAAAGUGACGGUACCUGCAGAAGAAGCGCCGGCUAACUACGUGCCAGCAGCCGCGGUAAUACGUAGGGCGCAACGUUGUCCGGAAUUAUUGGGCGUAAAGAGCUCGUAGGCGGUUUGUCGCGUCUGCUGUGAAAACCCGAGGCUCAACCUCGGGCUUGCAGUGGGUACGGGCAGACUAGAGUGCGGUAGGGGUGACUGGAAUUCCUGGUCGUAGGCGGUGAGAAUGCCGCGAGAUAUCAGGAGGAACACCGAUGGCGAAGGCAGGUCACUUGGGCCGCAACUGACGCUGAGGAGCGAAAGCAUGGGGAGCGAACAGGAUUAGAUACCCUGGUAGUCCAUGCCGUAAACGUUGGGCACUAGGUGUGGGGCUCAUUCCACGAGUUCCGUGCCGCAGCAAACGCAUUAAGUGCCCCGCCUGGGGAGUACGGCCGCAAGGCUAAAACUCAAAGGAAUUGACGGGGGCCGCACAAGCGGCGGAGCAUGCGGAUUAAUUCGAUGCAACGCGAAGAACCUUACCCAAGGCUUGACAUACACCGGAAAAGUGCAGAGAUGUGCUCCCCGCAAGGUCGGUGUACAGGUGGUGCAUGGUUGUCGUCAGCUCGUGUCGUGAGAUGUUGGGUUAAGUCCCGCAACGAGCGCAACCCUCGUCCUAUGUUGCCAGCACGUUAUGGUGGGGACUCAUAGGAGACUGCCGGGGUCAACUCGGAGGAAGGUGGGGAUGACGUCAAAUCAUCAUGCCCCUUAUGUCUUGGGCUUCACGCAUGCUACAAUGGCCGGUACAAAGGGCUGCGAUACCGCAAGGUGGAGCGAAUCCCAAAAAGCCGGUCUCAGUUCGGAUUGGGGUCUGCAACUCGACCCCAUGAAGUCGGAGUCGCUAGUAAUCGCAGAUCAGCAACGCUGCGGUGAAUACGUUCCCGGGCCUUGUACACACCG